RNAcentral lists this long non-coding RNA (983 nucleotides) under Homo sapiens (human). Its description in RNAcentral is "HSALNT0330893". Lineage: Eukaryota; Metazoa; Chordata; Mammalia; Primates; Hominidae. The record is from RNAcentral.
AAGGCAGCUGUUACCCAAGCCCUGCACCUCCAUCUUCCCAGAGUCUCGUGGGAAACAGAUUUCAAACAACAACAGACAGCAAGACUGAGAAACUACGAAAGAUCAGCCUGGAAGCAGUGUUUGGAGCUGAGAUGACUUGGCAGGGAGAAGAAUCCACUGGGACAUUCAAUAACUUGGCAUUGAGAGUGUUUUCAGCACCAUGCUGUCCUCAGAAUAGUGUUAGAAUUUAUAUAAACACAGAUGUGACUUGUGCCUUGAAGGAGAAUACAGUCUUCCCAGGAGAGACAUGCAAAACCAUCAUAGACAAACAGCAAGAAAACAGCAUCAAGGAUGUACAUGCACCGGGCAGAAUGUAAACUGGAUGUAAAACCAAGCAUUUGAGGGCAAUGAGAAAGGAACUUGGUUCUGGUCUCAACUCUGCCACCCACAGCUGCGUGACUAUGUCUCUGUCACACUGCUUCUCAGGUCUUCAACUUUAUCGUCUCAUACUGAGCAAGAGACAGUCUGGACAAUUUAUGCUUCUAGAAUGGGGAGACAAGAAGAAAAGAAAGAUAGAUACCCAAGGACUUCAGUGACUGGCUCAGGAAGAAUUACUCAGCAGUGAGGGGGCCAGCAUGAGCCCAGGGGCAAGAAGCCGGGACUUGGAACAGGAAGGAAAGGUGCUCAGCUGGCUAACCUAGAGGAAAGUGAUUGGCUGGAGUGUCUGGUUUAUCUGUUUCAGGGAUGGUUAAAGAUUGCCCCGUUAAUAGGCAAAAAUUGUUGCCUUAAAGAACCUAGAAUCUAAAGGGGUCUUUGACAUAAUACAGAAUAACAGGUCCCAGAGAUUAUUUUACAGAAUGUUAGUACCUCAUGAUAUUAAUAGAUAUAUAACAAAACAGACUUCUUUGCCACAAGACUUCUCAGUACCUUUAACAUUUUAUGAUUUUCCCAAAGGACAAAGAGUAUGCAGCAUUUCCCAGACUUAAAUUUAACUGUGAACACCU